GCGCCUGUAGCGCAAUGGAUAGCGCAAUGGCCUCCGGAGCCAUGUGUGACAGUUCGACUCUGUCCAGGCGCA
Molecule: transfer RNA, 72 nt
Filed under: Candidatus Omnitrophota bacterium
Lineage: Bacteria; Pseudomonadati; Candidatus Omnitrophota
Description: Candidatus Omnitrophica bacterium tRNA-Arg
Rfam family: tRNA
About the family: Transfer RNA (tRNA) molecules are approximately 80 nucleotides in length.
Source: RNAcentral